Molecule: unclassified non-coding RNA, 2528 nt
Filed under: Leishmania donovani
Lineage: Eukaryota; Euglenozoa; Kinetoplastea; Trypanosomatida; Trypanosomatidae
Description: gene:LdHU3.35.2660(CDS-product:SH3_domain/Variant _SH3_domain_containing_protein_putative)
Source: RNAcentral
UUUAGCCUUGGCUGGAGAUCAGCGGCAACAAAAGUGUCUGCCCUGCGCUGCAGGCGGCUGAUUCGGUUAUGAAAACCGCCGUGGCGGGCUAUCCUACAAGGGUCGCUAUCACACAUACACGCCCACGCACAGCAUUACAUACAUAUACACGCGUGGGUGUCCCCCAGCGCAUUUGGUUGCGUUCUCCGCCACAGCACGAACGAGGCGUAGCCACUAUCCGCACCACCUCUCUUCCUACUUCUCAUCGCACAAAAAAAAAACGCGCUGCUCCUAUCAAAUCCCCGAGGCCGCGCUGACACCGUUCUGCAGCACCGCAGAUGCACAGCUCGCGGCGUUCACGUAGAGGGGAGCAGCAGCAAACACGCGAAUUCAGCACCAGUGCUAGCGGCGCCGUCGAGGUAGUGCUUCGCUUUGCCGCCGCCGACGAAAAGACCAACCGCGGCGCUGGCAUUCAUGCUAAGGCUGACCGCGUCGCCAGCGAGCACAAGACAGAGCAGUGCAUCGCACUCAUAGACUACCAUGCGCUCGACGACGACGAGAUCAGCUUCAGGGCCGGCGAUGUAAUCAACGUAACAGGGAAGGGGACUGCCUCUGGGUUCUGGGAGGGUUACGUGGCCACCCCGGUCUCUCCCGCGCUCGCCACGGCCGAGCUCAGUGACGCGGAGCACAGCAGCUCUCUCUCGCACUCCCCCAGCGCCUCUCUGCUGUCGCCACAACCCCAGCAGCGCUGCACGCGCGGCCUCUUCCCGAACUGUCUCGUCACUUCCAACAUGCGCCUCAAGCACUCCUUGUCACACUACGCCUUGCAGAAUGUUGCGCUGUGCCUGUACGCGUACCAGGCCACCGGCGAUGGCGAAAUGUCGUUCGUCCAUGGCGACGUGAUCACGGCGGUGCGGCCCAGCUCUUCACCGGGGUGGUGGUACGGCGUCAAAAGCGGCGGACCUGCGUGGGUGGCACCGGGCACGGCGGCCUCAAAUCGUUUUGUCGAUCCGGCGGCCGCCACCGAUUUCUCUGCGUCCCGCGCAGUCCGAAAAACACAGGCGACGAUGGAUGCAGCGCUGCAAGGGGGCACCACCGCGCCAGCUGGUGACGGAAAAGGUGAGGAGCGCCUUUUUCCCACGAACUUCGUGACGUGUGACGUGGUGCAGGCCAACUUCAGCUUUGCCGGUCGCCAGCCGCACGAGCUGAGCUGCAAAGUCGGCGAUAUCAUUCAGGUGCAUCGCCGUUGGAAUGAUGGUUGGUGGGAAGGCUCCCUGCGCGGCCGCCGCGGCAUCUUCCCGAGUAACUACACCAUCCCUAAUAUCACCACAACAGCGCCUCCACUCUUUUGCGCGCGGUGCCGCACCGUCUACGCGUCCAGCAUGUUCUACUCGACAUGCGCCACAUGCAUGGCGGAGGAGCGGGUCGAGGAUGCGAUGAUGCAGGCCGUGGAAGCGUACGUGCGCGGCGAGGCAACAGAGCUCGACCUCUUCGCCAACGUCGACAUCGGUCUACACACGCCGUCAGAGGCAUCCUCUGUCAACGACGGUGAAGUCAGCGUUGACGGUGCCUUGAGGCAGUCUUCUCGCGAGGCUAACCACGACGACUCGCGCAACUUGACGAGAGGCCUCAGCGUAGUCAUCCCCAGCACCUGCAACGACGGGGGCACCUCUCGUCGGCGCCAGUGCCGCCGUAGCGGUAGCAGACCGUCUGAGGCUCGCGUUUCACUGCUCACGGAGAAGGACAUGGCUGACUUGGCCUCCAACCGGGUGAAGCUGAUGGAGUGACCCCUCCCCACACCGAUCCCACGGAAUCUGCUGCCUUUCUUUGUGUGCGCGCUGUGUGGGGAUGAAGAAUGGACAUGAGGGAAGAAAAGGGGUGGGGGAGACAUCGGCGACAUGACGACACUUCGUGAAUUUCGUCUCACUGAGCCACUACCUCAUCGUCCAAACACUUGAAGUUGCACUACAGGCGCUGCAGCGGGCCAUCAUUAGGAGUUGGUCAGGCGCGCCAGAGAAGGAGCGCGUGUGGCUAUUAAAAAAGAAAGCGAGGAGAGCGGACGUGCUGCUGCCUUUGUUGUCAUUUUCUCUCCUCCCCUACGCUUACACCUCUUGUGUGGUUCCACCUCCAUGUGCUCCGUGCUGCUUGGCACCUAUCGUUCUUCUUGCUCCCCUCCUUCCCCCCGCUCGCUCCAUUCCCCUCUCGCUUCUCCUGCGCUGCUUGGUGUCGUACUCCAGUUCAGAACAUAAAAAAAAAACAUCCUUUUUUUUCGAAACCCACGUAUGCCUGUCGUGCAACACAGUCGUACGCAGGGUUGCUACUCUUCUCGCACGGUCGUGCUGUGUUGCCUGAGGGCCACCACCGUCUGUCACACCUUUCGCCCUUACUAACAGGGCAUAGCGUACAAGGCAGGCUGGCGCGUGAUGCUCUGUAACUUGCGUCCACUGUGCACACAUCGCCUUCACUGCGUUCUUCGGCUUCCUUAUUUCCGUUUCACCAUCGCUGUGCUGGACUCCUAUUUCGCGUGAUUCAACUCGUCGUGAAAACAG